GACAAAUUCUACUAUUUCAAUUUUCACCAACUCAAAUCAAAUCCAUCAUUUUAUUUACUAAUUCAGUUUGCACCUAUAGAAAACUUAUAUAAAUUGACUAACGAUUCGAAGUGAUAAAUUGUCUAAUUUUUACUAUUUUCAAUUUCCGCCAACUUUAAAUCAAAUUCAUCAUUUAUUUACUAAUUCAAUUUGCACCUGUAACACCCCGCAUCCAAAACUGCUUAUAUAGCCCAACUUUGCAUGUAUGCGUAGCACUUCGCUUACACUUUCGUUGUCGCUUCAUGUAAUUAUUUAUGUUAUGGAUUUUACUAUUUCAAUUUUUGCCAACUUUAAAUCAAAUCCAUCAUUUAUAUUUACUAAUUCAGUUUGCACCUUUAACACCCCCACGUCCAAAACUGCUUAUAUGGUACGUGUAGCACCUCGCUUACACUUUCGUUCUCACUUCAUGUUAAAGGGUUAACUCGAAGGUGCUAUGUUUGGAACGACAAGGUUUAUAAGCUUACCCUAACCAUCCUAAACUUUUAAGGUGAUACUAAACCUACCAACCACAACCACAUAUGAGCUACUUGAGCCACAUAUAUAGCCAACUUCUACUACAGGCUACUAUAGGUUGAGGUGUUACGACACCCUAAUUUACAUUUUUUCCAUAUGAAUAGAAGUCAGUCGAAAUCUCAUCUUUACCAAAGAAGAGCUUAGCAAUAGCAGCAGAGAGUUCAAGUUGUUGCGGGCCCAAUAUAAAAAAAACUAUUACAACCCCAUCUGUUCUAUGUAUAGACGUGAUUUGCUUGUAGUUGUCCCCUCUAGAAAACAUUUUAUUUAAAUUUCUAUCAAUUUUAAAUGGUAUAUUCGUUUUUAAUUCCGUUUGCAUAUGUUUUACGUGACAAAGCGAAUAAAAGACUCCACUUCUCUAUAUUUCGAAUAAUUUUAUUUUAAUGGCAAUUUAUAUGUAAAAAUAUGCUAGGAGAUUUAUAAAAUAAGUUGCUACCAUGUAAUACUAAACUUGCUACUCCAUAAAUAAACUAAUGUUUUUACAUAGUAUGCACAUCGAUUGUUAUCAUGGGAAUAUAACAAAGUUGUUAUAUAGUUUUUACAUAAAGAUACUCCCCUAAAGAGAGCAGCAGACUAAAACAAAGACAUAGUGCAACCUGGAGGGAUAAAUUAUUAAAAUAAACAUUGCAGAAAGUUAUUAUACAACAUAUUAUAAAAAGCCAGGAAACAUGAUUUGCUACCAAUUGGGUGCACUUAUUAAAAAACGAGGGUAACAGCAUAAAAUAAGACAAGCUGCAACCUGAGGGCAAAUAAUUAGAACAAGCAUUACAUAAGAUGUCAACAAGAGGGACAAGUUAUUAUAUAACGCACUAUGAGCCAGGAAACAACACUAGAUGACAUUAUAUAAUCCACUAUAUAAGUAGGAAACAUCACUAGAUGACAAUUAGAGGGACAUUUAUUAAAAAGACAAGAAUAACGACCUAAAAUAAGAAAAGUUGCACCCUGAGGAGCAAAUUAUUAGAAGCAUUGCGUAAGAUGCCAACUUAGAGGAUACGUUGUUAUACAACCUAUCUGUAGAAUUUAGGAAUAUAUUCAAACCUAAAAUGAUGACUGAAAACUAAAAAAAAUUAAAAACUAGACUAAAAAUAAAACUAACUAAAAAAAUUGACAAAAAACUGAAAAUAAAAAAACAUUAAAAAAACUCAUGAAACUAAAUGAAACAAUGAAAAACCAGAAAUUGAAACGAAAAAGAGAAUAAAAGUAACACAGAAAUUGAAAUAAUGAAACUCAAUGUGGGCUACGUUCUCUGCAGGGGCAGAUCCAAAAGGGGGGCUGGGUGGGCUCCAGCCCCCCUAUAAGUAUGAUUUGUUCAUUAAAUUAGAGUUAAUUAGCCUUAAAUUUUUAUUGAUCUCUAGUUUAAGUUCUAUGUAUUUACUAUUUAGCCGCCUCUUGCUCUCCAUCCUGGAUCCGCCACUGGUUGUCUGCCUCUCGCGACCGCAUGCACGGUAACUUUUGCGUUUCACGAUACUGUUGAAUAUAAUGGGCCAUUAGCCUAUAAUUAUAUUUGAUGAUUAAUUCAAGGGCCCAUAAUUAAUGCUAUAAUGAAAAUGGUUUAGUACCAUAUUGAUGAUUGACCAUGUGUUAACUCAACUUAAAUAGGUGGCCUUUAUUAGCUCCUAUGGAGAAGUUGAGGGAGGGUGAAGGGGUGCCACACGCGCGCGCCGCCGCCGAGCCGAGCCGUGUCCCUUGUCUUGUCAUGUCAUGUCAUGUCUUGUCGAGCGAGCGUGACGUGGCACACGAGGACCAGACCAGACCAGACGUGACGUGGCGAGCGUGACGUGGCACACGAGGACCAGACAUGACGUGGCACAUGCGUGGUGAAUAAGAAAAGGAAGGAAAACGGGAUCUGACCGUUGUGCAAUUAAUGGCAAUUAAUUGCUAAUUGAUUGACUCGUUAAUGGCAAUUAAUUGUGAUUGAUUGCCAUUAACCAGACGUUUCCUCCUGGGGCCUAUAUAUUCCAUACACAGAGACACCUUCCAUACCUGCGAGAACACAUUCAGUCUUCUCUCUUCCUGUCGAGUUGCUCUCUGUCCAUUCCCGUCCCAGAGAUCGGGAGAGCAGGCCUCCGGAACCCGACGCCUUGUAUCAAGACACCUGCUCGGGUGUUGCGGGCAAUCAGGUUUUUGGGGAGCGUCUUCCACGACUGCUCACCGGCGAGAUCGUCUUCUUCCACUCCAGCGGGUCUUCUUCCUGGUGGACGUUCGCGCGGAUCGAGAUCGACUACUUCGUCUUCUUCCUAGUGGACGUUCGCGGGACUGCACUGCGAACAUCUUCCUGCAUCGACUGUGGUCCGCUACUUCACGCAACGCACUAUGUCGACUAGUGCGAAUGGAGCCGCCGGUGCCUUCGGCACUAGUCCCUCCUCUGGGUACAAUCUCAAACGAUUGUUUUUCACUUUCAGUAUGUCUGAUGUUGUUGCAGUAGUAUUUGCAAUGUUUAUCUCUAAUCUGAGUAGUGAUAAAAUUGCACACGUGCGCAUAUAUGCCACCAUAAUAUUAUGCGUAAUUUUCUAGAUUAAAUCAAACAUUAAAAUGUCUAAAUUUCUAACAAUCCAAAAGCCUGAUAUUAGGCAUUUUUCUGUUAGUGGUUUUGCUGCUGCGUUAAAACCGGAUAUGUUUGAUGGUUGAAACUAUAAGCGGUGGCGCGCGAGAAUGAUAUUGUGGUUAACUGCUAUGAGUUGCUAUCACGCCGCGGAGGGGAAGCCGGAACAGUUUACUCCUGAGGAGGAGAAAACGUUCAUGGCUGCUGAUAACCUCUUCAGAGGCGCCGUGAUUAGUGCGCUCGAUAAAAAGUACGUUGACAACUAUAUCAUUUGCACCACUGCUAAGAAAUUAUGGGAUGCGCUUGAGGCCAAGUUCGAGGUUUCUGAUGCUGGUAGCGAGCUGUACCUCAUGGAACAAUUGUUUGAUUACAAGAUGGUUGAUAGGCACAUGAGAUACAGGCACUAGCUAAGAAACUAGAACAAUUUUCUUGUGUGUUACCUGAAAAGUUUGUGGCCGGCGGUAUAAUCGCGAAGUUGCCACCUUCUUGGAAGGAUUUUGCUACUUCUCUAAAACAUCAGAGGAAAGAGUUUGGUCUUGCCGAACUCAUGGGAACUCUUGAUGUUGAGGAGAAGGCGAGGGCAAAAGAUACACAUAGAAAAGGCGUUGAGUCUUCUAGUGCCAAUGUGGUGCAGAAGAAAAAACAAUUCGCAUUCCGUAAUAAGAAAAAGAACAAGCAAGAGAACAAGCAAGGAGCAAAUCCAAAGCCAAAGCAAACUGCGACUUUUAAGAAGAAAAAGGCAGAUGGAGGCUGCUUUGUUUGCGGUAGCGAUGACCACUGGGCGAGUGGCUGUCCAGACCGUAAAUUUAAACAAGAAGAGAAAAAGUCAGUAAACAUGGUCAUUGGCGAGGCUGAAGGAGGAACAUCUGGGUAUGGUAAUUAUUUACCUGCUGUUCUUUCAGUCUGUCAUUCACCUGAGUGGUGGAUGGAUACUGGGGCUAAUGUUCAUGUGUGUGCUGACAUCUCUUUGUUUUUUUCUUAUCAGGCCGGCAACACUAGAGCCUCACUGAUGGGGAACGGCUCUCAUGCGCGUGUUCUUGGUGUUGGUACGGUCAUUCUGAAGUUCACUUCGGGAAAGACGGUGCUGAUGAAGAAUAUGCAGCAUGUCCCCUCCAUCAAAAAGAAUCUAGUUAGCGGCUCACAGCUUUGUAGAGAUGGCUACAAAAUAGUCUUUGAGGCCAAUAAAGUUAUACUUUCAAAGUUUGGAACUUUUAUUGGUAAAGGUUAUGAUUGCGGAGGCUUGUUCCGCUUAUCCAUGCAUGAUGUGUGUAAUAAAAUCGUGAACCAUACUGUGAUUUCGAAUGAGUCGAAUAUUUGGCAUUUGCGAUUUUGUCAUGUUAAUUAUGGUUGUUUAACGCGGCUAGCAAAUAUGAAUUUAAUCUCGAAAUUUAAUUUAGUCAAAGGUUCUAAGUGCCAUGUAUGUGUGCAAUCCAAGCAACCUCGCAAGCCUCACAAGGCUGCGGAGGCGAGGAACUUGGCACCAUUAGAUUUAAUCCAUUCCGAUCUAUGCGAGAUGAAUGGUGAGUUGACUAAAGGUGGUAAACGAUACUUCAUUACUUUUAUAGACUAUUGUACUAGAUUUUGUCACGUGUACUUGCUUAAAACAAAGGAUGAAGCAUUACAAUAUUUUAAAGCCUAUAAAGCUAAAGUAGAAAAUCAACUUGAGAGGAAAAUUAAACGCUUAAGGUCCGAUCGUGGUGGAGAAUAUUUUUCAAGUGAUUUUUUCUGACUUCUGCGUAGAACAUGGAAUUCUUCAUGAGAGGACACCGCCAUACUCACCACAGUCGAAUGGGAUUGCCGAAAGAAAGAACCGUACUCUAACUGAGAUGGUUAACGCCAUGUUAGAGACUUCGGGUCUAUCUAAGGAAUGGUGGGGUGAGGCGAUAUUGACAGCGAGUCAUGUCCUGAAUAGAGUUCCUACAAAGAAUAAAGAAAUCACACCAUUUGAGAAAUGGGAAAAGAAAAGAGUAAAUGUCUCCUAUUUGCGUACUUGGGGUUGUUUGGCUAAAGUGAAUGUGCCAAUAAACAAGAAACGCAAACUCAGACCUAAGACAGUUGACUGUAUUUUCCUUGGUUAUGCUACUCACAGCAUAGGGUAUAAGUUUUUAAUUAUAAACUCUGGAGUACCAGAUAUGCAUGUUGGUACUAUAAUGGAAUCUAGAGAUGCAACAUUCUUUGAAAGUGAGUUUCCUAUGAAAAGUACACCUAAUAUUUCUAGUCAUGAGUCUAUAAACUCCCAUGAGCAAUUUAUUCCGAUAGAACAAUCUGAGGAACCCCAUGUUCACUAUCCUGAGGAGGAUGAUAAUGUAGUCACUCGAACGAGCAAAAGACAAAGAAAAGUGAAGUCUUUUGGAGAUGACUAUAUUGUGUACCUCAUGGAUGAUACCCCAACAACCAUUAAAGAGGCAUUUUCCUCUCCUGAUGCUGACUUGUGGAAGGAAGCAAUAAGGAAUGAGAUGGAUUUUAUAAUGUCUAAUGGAACUUGGGGAGUGGUUGAACGACCUUAUGGGUGUAAACCUAUAGGGUGUAAAUGGGUGUUCAAGAAAAAGCUUAGGCCUGAUGGUACAAUUGAGAGGUACAAGGCUAGGCUUGUGGCUAAGGGUUAUACCCAAAGAGAAGGGGAAGAUUUCUUUGAUACUUAUUCACCUGUUGCCCGUUUGACCACAAUUCGAGUGUUAUUGUCUUUGGCUGCCUCUCAUGGUCUUCUCAUUCAUCAAAUGGAUGUGAAGACAGCUUUCCUAAAUGGAGAGUUAGAGGAAGAGAUCUAUAUGGAUCAGCCUGAUGGAUUUGUAACAAGUGGUCAAAAGGGCAAGGUGUGUAAGUUAUUAAAAUCCCUUUAUGGCCUAAAACAAGCUCCAAAACAAUGGCAUGAGAAGUUUGAUAGAACCUUAACUUCUGUCGGCUUUGCUGUUAAUGAAGCUGACAGAUGUGUGUACUAUCGGUUUGGUGGGGGUGAAGGUGUGAUCCUUUGUCUGUACGUGGAUGACAUACUGAUCUUUGGGACAAACCUUGUUGUGAUCAAGGAAGUUAAAGACUUUUUGUCUAAUAACUUUGAGAUGAAAGAUUUGGGAGAAGCUGAUGUUAUUCUAAACAUUAAGCUUUCAAGAGAAGGCAAUGGUGGGAUUACACUUGUGUAGUCCCACUACGUGGAAAAGAUUUUAACUCGCUUUGGGUACAGUGACUGUCAAUCUGCUCCUACGCCUUAUGAUCCUAGUGUGCUAUUGAGAAAAAAUCGAAGAAUAGCAAGGGAUCAACUAAGAUUCUCUCAAAUUAUAGGCUGAUUGAUGUACCUUGCUAGUGCCACGAGGCCUGAUAUCUCGUUUGCAGUGAGCAAACUUAGCCGAUUUCUGUCAAAUCCGGGAGAUAUUCAUUGGCAAGCUCUUGAGAGAGUGAUGCGCUAUCUGAAAGGUACUGUGAGCUAUGACAUUCACUAUACAGGAUACCUGAAGGUAUUAGAGGGUUAUUGUGAUGCAAACUGGAUAUCUGAUGCUGAUGUGUUAAAGGCCACAAGUGGAUAUGUGUUUCUGCUUGGAGGUGGCGCUGUUUCAUGGAAGUCUUGUAAGCAGACUAUCUUAACGAAGUCAACCAUGGAAGCAGAACUCACAGCAUUAGACACCGCCGGUGCUGAGGCCGAGUGGCUUUGUGAACUCCUGAUGGAUCUACCGGUGGUUGAAAAACCUGUGCCGGCUAUUUCCAUAAACUGUGACAAUCAAACAGUGAUCACUAAAGUCAACAGUUCUAAGGACAACAUGAAGUCUACUAGGCAUGUAAAACGGCGUUUGAAGACUGUCAGAAAAUUGAGAAACUCCAAAGUUAUAGCAUUGGACUAUGUUCAUACGUCCAAGAAUCUGGCAGAUCAAUUCACAAAGGGACUAUCACGUAAUGUGAUAGAUAGUGCAUCGAGUGAGAUGGGUUUGAGACCCACGUGAGAUCUACCAUGGUGGCAACCUGUUCUAUGUGAUCGGAGAUCCCGUGAAGUAGAAUGGUGAAACAAGCCAGAAGUAGAUUGUGAGGAAAGACCCUUUUCUUAACUCAUCUCAAUUGCACUUCUUUUCUAAGUCUGUAAGGAAGGCUGGUUAUAUACCUUAAUGUAUUCCAAAGCGGCUUGUGAAGCGAUAGAUGUUGUCCUACAAAACAUCCUUAAGGAAUACACCUAUAUGAGUUUGACUGCUAGUCACAGUCUAUGAGAUUUUGGGUGAUCUCUAGAUACUCAUGAAUGGGCCAGAAGUAUGACUUAUAUGCUUCAACCAGAGGGGAUGUUCAUGCAACCCGGUAUCAGUUAUGAGUGUAGAUGAAACUUAUAUCACACAAAACUUGCAAUUCAAGGCAUAGUCCAUUGUUCAAGUUGUGGCUAAGUGUAGUCUGUACUCUAGGUGGAAGUUCAACUUAACAGUCUCCACCAAAACGACCGGUAUAUGAAACGACAUGGAAACUCGAGAGCUUUUCUUAUGUGCCCUAGAAAUAGGUGGGGAUUGUUGAAUAUAAUGGGCCAUUAGCCCAUAAUUAUAUUUGAUGAUUAAUUCAAGGGCCCAUAAUUAAUGCUAUAACGAAAAUGGUUUAGUACCAUGUGUUAACUCAAAUAGGUGGCCUUUAUUAGCUCCUAUGGAGAAGUUGAGGGAGGGUGAAGGGGUGCCACAC
This 7729-nucleotide long non-coding RNA is filed under the name Sorghum bicolor (sorghum). Its description in RNAcentral is "long non-coding RNA (SBIC_LNC011700)". The record is from RNAcentral. Lineage: Eukaryota; Viridiplantae; Streptophyta; Magnoliopsida; Poales; Poaceae.